AUGAAAAAAAGAAAAUGGCCAGGGCAGCCUUGCUGCCCUUUUUGCAAGGAGGUGGAAACAACCCAGCAUCUCUUCUUUACUUGUCCAGUGGCCAGGGUAGUAUGGCGAUCUAUUGGGGUGGUUUUAGGCACUCACAAAUGUUCAAGGAAUUAUUGGCAAUAUUUCGUUUGGUGUCACAAGUUUCUUCCUGGGAAGAAAACAUUCUACACGCUGGGCUUAGCAACCACUUGCUGGGCCAUCUGGUUGGCGGAUAAUCGGGCUACUUUUGAAAAGAAACAAAUCAAGACACCUUUUGAGAUUGUGUUUUCUCUGUGCUCUUUUCCAGUUUACUGGAUAGGUUUACAACAAGGAGACGCCGCCAGGGAGUUACAUACAAGAGCAGAGAUGAUCAGGACGAGUACAAUGCAGCUGAUGAAGAUGUGUGAUGCUGCCAAGCAACCGAUCCAAGGUGCCUGA
This 456-nucleotide ribosomal RNA is filed under the name Triticum aestivum (bread wheat). Its description in RNAcentral is "partial small subunit ribosomal RNA". Lineage: Eukaryota; Viridiplantae; Streptophyta; Magnoliopsida; Poales; Poaceae. The record is from RNAcentral.